Molecule: long non-coding RNA, 342 nt
Filed under: Mytilus galloprovincialis (Mediterranean mussel)
Lineage: Eukaryota; Metazoa; Mollusca; Bivalvia; Mytilida; Mytilidae
Source: RNAcentral
CAUACAUACUGAUAUAUAACAUCCCGCCCACAAAACAAAAAUUUACUAAAUUUUUACAAUGGUCAAUAUGUUUAUGUGUUAAAAAAAUACAAUAAAUAAUCGCUUCCAAAACUGAAAGUUUACAUGAAUAAAGUUAAUCUCUCGACACUCUAGUAACCAUUUUAAAACAAACGUAUCAACGCUGUAAAACCGAAAGUCUGGCAUCUCGGACUCCUCCCUCGGAUGACCUUAUGCACGCAUUACUUUCACACAAACAUUAACAGUGAUACACAAAUAUUAAUGGCGUUUCCUACUAGACAAACUGAUAUCAUUAUAAAUAGCUGAAUACAAAUUUGAUAGAAU